GACGAACGCUGGCGGCGUGCCUAAUACAUGCAAGUAGAACGCUGAAGGAGGAGCUUGCUCUUCUGGAUGAGUUGCGAACGGGUGAGUAACGCGUAGGUAACCUGCCUGGUAGCGGGGGAUAACUAUUGGAAACGAUAGCUAAUACCGCAUAAGAGUAGAUGUUGCAUGACAUUUACUUAAAAGGUGCAAUUGCAUCACUACCAGAUGGACCUGCGUUGUAUUAGCUAGUUGGUGGGGUAACGGCUUACCAAGGCGACGAUACAUAGCCGACCUGAGAGGGUGAUCGGCCACACUGGGACUGAGACACGGCCCAGACUCCUACGGGAGGCAGCAGUAGGGAAUCUUCGGCAAUGGACGGAAGUCUGACCGAGCAACGCCGCGUGAGUGAAGAAGGUUUUCGGAUCGUAAAGCUCUGUUGUAAGAGAAGAACGAGUGUGAGAGUGGAAAGUUCACACUGUGACGGUAUCUUACCAGAAAGGGACGGCUAAUUACGUG
This 495-nucleotide ribosomal RNA is filed under the name uncultured bacterium. Its description in RNAcentral is "partial 16S ribosomal RNA". It matches the Rfam family "Bacterial small subunit ribosomal RNA", at positions 28 to 507 of the family's 1533-position model. The record is from RNAcentral.